UUAACUCAAAUUUGUAUGCAGUUGGAACAGCGUCCCUAGCGGCAAACGUUCCAACUCCAUGCAAAUAUGAGUUA
RNAcentral lists this microRNA precursor (74 nucleotides) under Bombyx mori (domestic silkworm). RNAcentral's name for it is "mir-2807 microRNA precursor family". It matches the Rfam family "mir-2807 microRNA precursor family". Lineage: Eukaryota; Metazoa; Arthropoda; Insecta; Lepidoptera; Bombycidae. The record is from Rfam by way of RNAcentral.